RNAcentral lists this ribosomal RNA (258 nucleotides) under uncultured Glomus. RNAcentral describes it as "partial 18S ribosomal RNA". It matches the Rfam family "Eukaryotic small subunit ribosomal RNA", at positions 624 to 886 of the family's 1831-position model. Lineage: Eukaryota; Fungi; Glomeromycota; Glomeromycetes; Glomerales; Glomeraceae. The record is from RNAcentral.
AAGCUCGUAGUUGAAUUUCGGGAUCAAUGCGUCGGUCGUGCCUUCGGUACGUACUGGCGUCAUUGAUUCCUCCCUUCUGAAGAACCGUGAUGUCAUUAAUUUGGUGUUACGGGGAAUCAGGACUGUUACCUUGAAAAAAUUAGAGUGUUUAAAGCAGGCUAACGCUUGAAUACAUUAGCAUGGAAUAAUGAAAUAGGACGUUCGAACCUAUUUUGUUGGUUUCUAGGAUCGACGUAAUGAUUAAUAGGGAUAGUUGGG